RNAcentral lists this ribosomal RNA (385 nucleotides) under uncultured bacterium. RNAcentral describes it as "bacterial SSU rRNA". It matches the Rfam family "Bacterial small subunit ribosomal RNA", at positions 28 to 418 of the family's 1533-position model. The record is from RNAcentral.
GACGAACGCUGGCGGCGUGCUUAACACAUGCAAGUCGAGCGGAAAGGCCCUUCGGGGUACUCGAGCGGCGAACGGGUGAGUAACACGUGAGCAACCUGCCCUGGACUUUGGGAUAACCCUCGGAAACGGGGGCUAAUACCGAAUAUUACUGCUGGCCGCAUGGUUGGUGGUGGAAAGUUUUUCGGUCUGGGAUGGGCUCGCGGCCUAUCAGCUUGUUGGUGGGGUAAUGGCCUACCAAGGCGACGACGGGUAGCCGGCCUGAGAGGGCGACCGGCCACACUGGGACUGAGACACGGCCCAGACUCCUACGGGAGGCAGCAGUGGGGAAUAUUGCACAAUGGGCGGAAGCCUGAUGCAGCGACGCCGCGUGAGGGAUGACGGCCUU